GUCUCUGAAGUCCAAAGAAUAAAAGAAAGAUUGUGUCAGGAUCAGGGUGAAAGGGGAAAUUGCCAAUCCAAGAACCAGCAACUCUGAAGAGAACUUGCAGGACAGCUAGUCUUGCAGUCUUGAGUUGUAGGAGCUUUGCCCAUGUUUCCACCUAUGAUGAGGACAGCCCUGCAAAAUCAGCAUGAUAACUUAAAUCUGCAAAAAGGACAAAGAUAAACAGCCUUGCUCCAAGUGCUGUUUGACCAUCUCAGUUCCUUCACAAUGAUGCACUGCAUGAGUCUCUGAAGUCCAAAGAAUAAAAGAAAGAUUGUGUCAGGAUCAGAGUGAAAGGGGAAAUUGACAAUCCAAGAACCAGCAACUCUGAAGAGAACUUGCAGGAGAGCUGCAAGUAUAUUAUACUACACAAAUAUUUACAGUGUAUUAACUGAACAUUAGAAUGCCAUGGACGUGCAGAACAUUUAAACACUGGAUACGUUUAUGUAUUGUCACUUAUUUUCUUUGCUUGCUUGCGACUGGAAACUGUAGGUCUGGACUGUUGAACACUU
Long non-coding RNA from Acipenser ruthenus (sterlet), 545 nucleotides. RefSeq lists it as uncharacterized. The record is from RefSeq and is a predicted model, not a curated record. The transcript has 3 exons. NCBI's taxonomy places the organism in Eukaryota, Metazoa, Chordata, Actinopteri, Acipenseriformes, Acipenseridae.